CCUACGGGGGGCUGCAGUGGGGAAUAUUGGACAAUGGGCGCAAGCCUGAUCCAGCCAUGCCGCGUGUGUGAAGAAGGCCUUCGGGUUGUAAAGCACUUUCACUUGGGAAGAAAAGUUGGUCGUUAAUAGCGGCCAGCCGUGACAUUACCUUGAGAAGAAGCACCGGCUAACUCCGUGCCAGCAGCCGCGGUAAUACGGAGGGUGCGAGCGUUAAUCGGAAUUACUGGGCGUAAAGCGCGCGUAGGCGGUUUGUUAAGUCAGCUGUGAAAGCCCCGGGCUCAACCUGGGAACUGCAGUUGAUACUGGCCGACUAGAGUACGAGAGAGGGAGGUAGAAUUCCAUGUGUAGCGGUGAAAUGCGUAGAUAUAUGGAGGAAUACCGGUGGCGAAGGCGGCCUCCUGGCUCGAUACUGACGCUGAGGUGCGAAAGCGUGGGGAUCAAACAGGCUUAGAUACCCCUGUAGUC
RNAcentral lists this ribosomal RNA (465 nucleotides) under uncultured Haliea sp. Its description in RNAcentral is "bacterial SSU rRNA". It matches the Rfam family "Bacterial small subunit ribosomal RNA", at positions 338 to 795 of the family's 1533-position model. The record is from RNAcentral. Lineage: Bacteria; Pseudomonadati; Pseudomonadota; Gammaproteobacteria; Cellvibrionales; Halieaceae.